This is a long non-coding RNA of Anser brachyrhynchus (Pink-footed goose), 1956 nucleotides long. NCBI's taxonomy places the organism in Eukaryota, Metazoa, Chordata, Aves, Anseriformes, Anatidae. The record is from Ensembl.
AAGAUGGCUCGCUUUUAUACACGCCCAGUGCUUUCCUUGACCUAUUUUUGGACAGUUAGAAGUUAUUUUUGUAUCUAGACUUCCCAAUUAACUAUGAUAAUAAAAUGAACAGAGGACUGGGUGUGCUGAGGAGGAAGAGGAGAAAGGCAGCAGCUGGCUGCGUGCUCUCACCCAGGCCAUGUAACACAACAGGGAGAGGGCACUGGGUGUAAGGCUGGUUGGUGUCACAGAAAACCAGCUUACCGAAAAUGCGGAUCGGUGUUACAGCAUACAGAACGGUGGAUGGGGAUUACCUUAAGGCUAUGUUUGUCUGAUGAUCUGUGAGGACUAUCUGGAAGAAAAGAAGAAAUUUGCACAAACCAGGACACGUUACAGGUGUGACAUAUUAGACCUCUACCAGUUCCUUCUCCAUCUGUCUCCCUCCUGACAACUGAUGUGUUUAGCAAUUGAGCUGUGUUAAAGGUUUAUCUGGUUGUUCUGUUAUAGCUUCAACGAGCAUCCGUCUGUAGGCACCCUUGACACUCAGCAGUAUGGCAUCUCUGACCAGGCAGUGCUGAGGAGCACCAAGUUGUCAGAAGAAAAGCAGAAAGCCAGAGGGCAAAUGAAAAAAGAAAAAAAAAAAAAAAAAAGAAAGAAAGGAAAAUGGCUGCCUUUCCACAAGAAAGAGAAAAGCCAAACUGAUUAUGAAAAGACACAAAAUGUACAGAUGUGAUCACAGACCUGGGCCAGAGACACAGGAGAACCUAUCUGCUAAUCUUCUCUUGAGCAAUAACACAUUGCUCACAUUCAAUUUGGAGAUCAGGAUUUACAACAAACAGCUUCUGGACUCCGGCACUGUUCACUGGAAAAUGCCGUGCUCGACACUCCAGCUGUUCCUGACUGCCGGUUACACAGACGUGUCAGCAAACAUCCAUUUCUGUGGGCACUGCGGGUCACUUGACAGGGAAGAUGAAUGAUGUCAUCGGGUUUCCUUUUUUUUCUGGAUGAGUGAUGGGGAGUGAUGCUGACAUUACUAUGCAAGCGUUGUGCAAGGUCCCUUCACGUGGCUCUGCACUUGGAACCGGAUGGCAUCAGCACUGCUAUCCCACACCUAGCUCCUGGAGACGGUCCUUUUAAUUGGGCAUUAUUUUUGGUCCUGGGGACAGUGAAAGGUUGAGGCUGAAAUUUGAGAAUUCGCUUUGAUUUGCAGACAUUUCCAGAAUUUAAAUUCAGAUCUCCCAUAUGGAAAAAGGAAAAAAAAAAAAAAAAAAGAGGAAAGAAAAUCUCUAGUAUAUUGUGUUGCCUCCUCCAUUAUGUAGUAGUUAAUAAUUAAAAACAUGCUGCAAUUGCUUUUGUGAAUUCAUAAUGUGGAGAUAAAGGAUUGCUUCAAGUUGUAAUUUGACAUAAAAUAAUUGCUAUAUUUCAGUUAUUCCUUAGUGAAGCUUAAUUUCUAUUUUUUUUCAAUUUUAAUAAUGCAAAGAAUUAACAUCAGAUGUUUCCCCUGCGCUUGUACAAUUCUGAAGUGCUUUUAUUUAAAAGAAAGUAACACUUCAUAGAGUUUGCUAGAGCACCCCUCCAAAACCCCCCUCACACGGUGUUGUUAUACCCCAGAGCCCCUAAUCCCUCGGGAAGAGCACUGUGUGACCGGCUGCCUUGGGGACUGCUACCACCGAUGGGACGUAGCAGGUCCCUUCGGGCCCUGGAAACGCAGCCUGAUCCAUCAGCAACUCCGGGGGUUUUAUGCCCUGUAAUUGUAUCCUUAGGUGGCUUAAGUUUAUUUAUGUCUCGACACGUACAAGGAACACCAGUAGGCAUCUAACCCCCGGUACGGCCACGAGCAGCGGGUGGCUCGCUUCGGAGCAAUGAUUAUUUGCACCCGAGCUCCCAACCAGGCCUGGGUUCAGGCAGGGCCACAGCUCGGGUUCAGCAGUCCCCAGCCCCACCGAACCGGGUGUCUCUGCAUCCCCGAGGCCAGGC